UCGAGGGGCAGCACGAUGUAGCAAUACAUUGGUGGCGACCGGCGCACGGGUGAGUAACGCGUAUGCAACCUACCUAUCAGAGGGGAAUAACCCGGCGAAAGUCGGACUAAUACCGCAUAAAACAGGGGUUCCACAUGGAAAUAUUUGUUAAAGAAUUAUCGCUGAUAGAUGGGCAUGCGUUCCAUUAGAUAGUUGGUGAGGUAACGGCUCACCAAGUCCACGAUGGAUAGGGGUUCUGAGAGGAAGGUCCCCCACACUGGUACUGAGACACGGACCAGACUCCUACGGGAGGCAGCAGUGAGGAAUAUUGGUCAAUGGGCGAGAGCCUGAACCAGCCAAGUCGCGUGAAGGAUGAAGGAUCUAUGGUUUGUAAACUUCUUUUAUAUGGGAAUAAAGUGAGGAACGUGUUCCUUUUUGUAUGUACCAUAUGAAUAAGCAUCGGCUAACUCCGUGCCAGCAGCCGCGGUAAUACGGAGGAUGCGAGCGUUAUCCGGAUUUAUUGGGUUUAAAGGGUGCGUAGGUGGUUAAUUAAGUCAGCGGUGAAAGUUUGUGGCUCAACCAUAAAAUUGCCGUUGAAACUGGUUGACUUGAGUAUAUUUGAGGUAGGCGGAAUGCGUGGUGUAGCGGUGAAAUGCAUAGAUAUCACGCAGAACUCCGGUUGCGAAGGCAGCUUACUAAACUAUAACUGACACUGAAGCACGAAAGCGUGGGGAUCAAACAGGAUUAGAUACCCUGGUAGUCCACGCAGUAAACGAUGAUUACUAGCUGUUUGC
Molecule: ribosomal RNA, 773 nt
Filed under: uncultured bacterium
Lineage: Bacteria
Description: bacterial SSU rRNA
Rfam family: Bacterial small subunit ribosomal RNA
Source: RNAcentral